UGGGGAAUAUUGCACAAUGGGCGCAAGCCUGAUGCAGCCAUGCCGCGUGUAUGAAGAAGGCCUUCGGGUUGUAAAGUACUUUCAGCGGGGAGGAAGGGAGUAAAGUUAAUACCUUUGCUCCUUGACGUUACCCGCAGAAGAAGCACCGGCUAACUCCGUGCCAGCAGCCGCGGUAAUACGGAGGGUGCAAGCGUUAAUCGGAAUUACUGGGCGUAAAGCGCACGCAGGCGGUUUGUUAAGUCAGAAGUGAAAUCCCCGGGCUCAACCUGGGAACUGCAUCUGAUGCUGGCAAGCUUGAGUCUCGUAGAGGGGGGUAGAAUUCCAGGUGUAGCGGUGAAAUGCGUAGAGAUCUGGAGGAAUACCGGUGGCGAAGGCGGCCCCCUGGACGAAGACUGACGCUCAGGUGCGAAAGCGUGGGGAGCAAACAGG
RNAcentral lists this ribosomal RNA (429 nucleotides) under Chloroflexota bacterium. RNAcentral describes it as "Chloroflexi bacterium partial 16S ribosomal RNA". It matches the Rfam family "Bacterial small subunit ribosomal RNA", at positions 355 to 776 of the family's 1533-position model. Lineage: Bacteria; Bacillati; Chloroflexota. The record is from RNAcentral.